GAGUUUGAUCCUGGCUCAGAACGAACGCUGGCGGCAGGCCUAACACAUGCAAGUCGAACGAAGCCUUCGGGCUUAGUGGCGGACGGGUUAGUAACGCGUGGGAACGUGCCCUUCUCUACGGAACAGUCCCGGGAAACUGGGUUUAAUACCGUAUACGCCCUUCGGGGGAAAGAUUUAUCGGAGAAGGAUCGGCCCGCGUCUGAUUAGAUAGUUGGUGGGGUAACGGCCUACCAAGUCGACGAUCAGUAGCUGGUUUGAGAGGAUGAUCAGCAACACUGGGACUGAGACACGGCCCAGACUCCUACGGGAGGCAGCAGUGGGGAAUCUUAGACAAUGGGCGCAAGCCUGAUCUAGCCAUGCCGCGUGAGUGAUGAAGGCCUUAGGGUCGUAAAGCUCUUUCGCUGGGGAAGAUAAUGACGG
RNAcentral lists this ribosomal RNA (420 nucleotides) under uncultured bacterium. RNAcentral's name for it is "bacterial SSU rRNA". It matches the Rfam family "Bacterial small subunit ribosomal RNA", at positions 9 to 457 of the family's 1533-position model. The record is from RNAcentral.